UACGCUGGCGGUAUGGCUUACACAUGCAGUCGAACGGAAACGAUGGAAGCUUGCUUCCAGGCGUCGAGUGGCGGACGGGUGAGUACGCGUAAGAAUCUGCCAGAUAGUGGGGGAUAGCCCGGAGAAAUCCGGAUUAAUACCGGCAUAAUCUCCAUGGAGUAAAGAGGGCCUCUAUUUAUAAGCUUUCGCUAUCUGAUGAGCCUGCGUAAGAUUAGCUAGUUGGUGGGGUAAUGGCCUACCAAGGCGACGAUCUUUAGCUGGUCUGAGAGGAUGAUCAGCCACAUUGGGACUGAGACACGGCCCAAACUCCUACGGGAGGCAGCAGUGGGGAAUAUUGGACAAUGGGGGCAACCCUGAUCCAGCAAUACCGCGUGUGUGAAGAAGGCCUGAGGGUUGUAAAGCACUUUCAAUUGUGAAGAAAAGUUAAUAGUUAAUACCUAUUAGCCUUGACGUUAACUUUAGAAGAAGCACCGGCUAACUCCGUGCCAGCAGCCGCGGUAAUACGGAGGGUGCAAGCGUUAAUCGGAAUUACUGGGCGUAAAGCGUGCGUAGGCGGUUGACUAAGUCGGAUGUGAAAGCCCCGGGCUUAACCUGGGAACUGCAUUUGAAACUGGUCAA
RNAcentral lists this ribosomal RNA (618 nucleotides) under uncultured Gammaproteobacteria bacterium. Its description in RNAcentral is "bacterial SSU rRNA". It matches the Rfam family "Bacterial small subunit ribosomal RNA", at positions 32 to 640 of the family's 1533-position model. Lineage: Bacteria; Pseudomonadati; Pseudomonadota; Gammaproteobacteria. The record is from RNAcentral.